RNAcentral lists this unclassified non-coding RNA (737 nucleotides) under Dermacentor andersoni. RNAcentral's name for it is "uncharacterized LOC126533106". The record is from RNAcentral. Lineage: Eukaryota; Metazoa; Arthropoda; Arachnida; Ixodida; Ixodidae.
AUUAAUUUUAUUGAAUGCAUCAUGCUGUUGCGUUAAGAAUCACUGUAGGCCCGCCAUGUUGUACAGGUCUCUUUCUUAUUUCCAGGUAGAAUGAUGGGCCUCAUGAUGGUAAACCAAAUAGGCAAAAAUGUUGCUAAUGCAGUCGUGGGCGUAACGAGGGAGAUUGUUGCAGCAAAGCGAGCUGCUGAAGCGGUUUAGCAGCCGCAGCCAAAGGUGACGGUGCUGCGGAUACGGGUGAAAAAGGUGGAGCGGAUGCAGGUGACAAAGGAGGUGAUGAAGGGGAUAAGAAGGAUUCCAAGGACGAGAAGAAUUCGAAAGAUGGCGCAGAAGAAGGUGGUACUACUAAGAAAAAGGCAGGAGAGGAUAAGAACGAGUCGAAAGAUGCGAAGGAUUCGAAAGCUGCAACAGGAGGAACUAGCUCAUCGGACAAAAAGUCAGGUAUGCAUAUUCUAGCACCCUCGUAGCACACGUCACGUAGAAAUACAUAUGUUAGCUACAUGAAUUGAAGUACGAGUAGAGUUAUAACAUAUGGAGUGAGCCGAAAAAGACAGAAAAGUAGAUCUAGUGCGAAUGGAGAAGCGCAAAAGCAGAAGAGUAAACGAGAUUGUAUUUGUGUUCCGGUGUGGUCAGUGUUUGAACGUUAUAUUGGCACAGCUGAUGGGAUACAGACCACAACUAUGUGGAUAACACCGACUAUGUACUCAAGUUCCCACAACCACCUGUAUUUUUGAACGUGU